This 330-nucleotide long non-coding RNA is filed under the name Carica papaya (papaya). RNAcentral describes it as "long non-coding RNA (CPAP_LNC011145)". The record is from RNAcentral. Lineage: Eukaryota; Viridiplantae; Streptophyta; Magnoliopsida; Brassicales; Caricaceae.
GUAGAAAAAUUACACGAAACGAGAAUUGGGUAAGGGCUCAUUGGAAGAAGUUGUAAGUAUUGGGCCACGACGGCCCCGUCGGGCUUUGUCCAUGGUUUUCGGCUCACCUGCCAUUCGUUUUGCUUUGAUAUGGCCACAAGGGUGCUCAGAAUUGAAUUCUGAGUGAGUAGGAGAAUUUUUUACUUCUUUUGGAGGUCGGAGGUUGCUCCGGUGCGUCGACGGUCGACAAUCGGCUUCCUUCUCUGAUAACUGGUCCUUUUUCUCUGGCGGGAGGGCGAGGGAGGGGGUUGGCUACUAGGGUUUAUAUUCUAUGUGAUGCGAAAUAUUUAU